Vicia faba (fava bean) is the source of this 291-nucleotide non-coding RNA. NCBI's taxonomy places the organism in Eukaryota, Viridiplantae, Streptophyta, Magnoliopsida, Fabales, Fabaceae. The record is from the annotation of a GenBank genome assembly.
AUGCUCUCUCUCUUCCAUCCUCAACCUUUACUUUCCUCCAUCUUUCUCACUCUUCAUUCUCCAUUUCUUCAAUUCACAGAAGAAUCAGAGAACCUACUCUCUGCUUCCUCCAUAAACCUCUCCCUUUUCUUCUUCAUCUUCAUCAUCAUCCUCGACUGUAACAACUUCAUCUUCAUACAACUUCAAGAACACUACAACGUAACAAAAAACGCAGAAACGCAUAAAUUCAGAGGAAGAAGACUCAAUAUCGCAAGCAAAAGAAGAAGAAUCGAGAGAAAAUCACAUACCUGA